GAUGAACGCUGGCGGCGUGCCUAAUACAUGCAAGUCGAGCGAACAGACGAGGAGCUUGCUCCUCUGACGUUAGCGGCGGACGGGUGAGUAACACGUGGAUAACCUACCUAUAAGACUGGGAUAACUUCGGGAAACCGGAGCUAAUACCGGAUAAUAUAUUGAACCGCAUGGUUCAAUAGUGAAAGACGGUUUUGCUGUCACUUAUAGAUGGAUCCGCGCCGCAUUAGCUAGUUGGUAAGGUAACGGCUUACCAAGGCAACGAUGCGUAGCCGACCUGAGAGGGUGGUCGGCCACCCUGGAAGUGAGACACGGUCCAGACUCCUACGGGAGGCAGCAGUAGGGAAUCUGCCGCAAUGGGCGAAAGCCUGACGGAGCAACGCCGCGUGAGUGAUGAAGGUCUUCGGAUCGUAAAACUCUGUUAUUAGGGAAGAACAAAUGUGUAAGUAACUAUGCACGUCUUGACGGUACCUAAUCAGAAAGCCACGGCUAACUACGUG
This 497-nucleotide ribosomal RNA is filed under the name uncultured bacterium. RNAcentral's name for it is "partial 16S ribosomal RNA". It matches the Rfam family "Bacterial small subunit ribosomal RNA", at positions 28 to 507 of the family's 1533-position model. The record is from RNAcentral.